ACGUAAUAGAUACCCGGGUAGUCCACGCCCUAAACGAUGUCUACUAGUUGUUGGUGGAGUAAAAUCCAUGAGUAAACGCAGCUAAACGCGUGAAGUAGACCGCCUGGGGAGUACGGUCGCAAGAUUAAAACUCAAAUGAAUUGACGGGGGCCCGCACAAGCGGUGGAUUAUGUGGAUUAAAUUCGAUGCAACGCGAAAAACCUUACCUGGCCUUGACAUGUAACGAACUUUCCAGAGAUGGAUUGGUGCUCGAAAGAGAACGUUAACACAGGUGCUGCAUGGCUGUCGUCAGCUCGUGUCGUGAGAUGUUGGGUUAAGUCCCGCAACGAGCGCAACCCUUGCCAUUAAUUGCCAUCAUUUAGUUGGGCACUUUAAUGGGACUGCCGGUGACAAACCGGAGGAAGGUGGGGAUGACGUCAAGUCCUCAUGGCCCUUAUGGCCAGGGCUUCACACGUAAUACAAUGGUCGGUACAGAGGGUUGCCAACCCGCGAGGGGAGCCAAUCCCAGAAAGCCGAUCGUAGUCC
Molecule: ribosomal RNA, 525 nt
Filed under: uncultured bacterium
Lineage: Bacteria
Description: bacterial SSU rRNA
Rfam family: Bacterial small subunit ribosomal RNA
Source: RNAcentral